RNAcentral lists this ribosomal RNA (229 nucleotides) under uncultured bacterium. RNAcentral's name for it is "partial 16S ribosomal RNA". It matches the Rfam family "Bacterial small subunit ribosomal RNA", at positions 568 to 796 of the family's 1533-position model. The record is from RNAcentral.
UGCGCAGGCGGCCUGAUAAGUCAGGGGUGAAAUAUGACGGCUCAACCGUCAAACUGCCCCUGAAACUGCCAGGCUUGAGUCCGGGAGAGGUAGGUGGAAUUCCAGGUGUAGCGGUGAAAUGCGUAAAUAUCUGGAGGAACACCGGUGGCGAAGGCGGCCUACUGGCCCGGAACUGACGCUCAGGCACGAAGGCUAGGGGAGCGAACAGGAUUAGAUACCCUGGUAGUCC